UCCGAGUUGACCCCGGCAGUCUCCCAUGAGUCCCCACCAUGACGUGCUGGCAACAUAGAACGAGGGUUGCGCUCGUUGCGGGACUUAACCCAACAUCUCACGACACGAGCUGACGACAGCCAUGCACCACCUGUACACGAGUAUCAAAGAGACCCACAUCUCUGCAGGCUUCCCGUGUAUGUCAAACCCAGGUAAGGUUCUUCGCGUUGCAUCGAAUUAAAGAACAUGCUCCGCUGCUUGUGCGGGCCCCCGUCAAUUCUUUUGAGUUUUAGCCUUGCGGCCGUACUCCCCAGGCGGGACACUUAAUGCGUUAGCGUCGGCACGGGAGGAGUCGACACCUCCCACACCUAGUGCCCAUCGUUUACGGCGUGGACUAC
This 377-nucleotide unclassified non-coding RNA is filed under the name uncultured Actinomycetes bacterium. RNAcentral's name for it is "uncultured actinobacterium contains 16S-23S intergenic spacer region". Lineage: Bacteria; Bacillati; Actinomycetota; Actinomycetes. The record is from RNAcentral.